RNAcentral lists this ribosomal RNA (564 nucleotides) under Triticum aestivum (bread wheat). RNAcentral describes it as "partial small subunit ribosomal RNA". The record is from RNAcentral. Lineage: Eukaryota; Viridiplantae; Streptophyta; Magnoliopsida; Poales; Poaceae.
UCGCAGCGGCCGCUGCAGGUAAGCAACACGAGAGCUUGCAAUAUGGCCGUCGUCCCCCUCUUCCUCGUCCUCGUCUUAGCCGUCGCUACCAUGGCCAUAUCCGAGCAGGAGACGACCACGCACAUCAAGGUGUACUGGCACGACGUGUACAGCGGGCCGAGCCCGACGGCGGUCGAGGUUGCGCGUGCCCCGUCGACCAACUCGUCUAAGACCCUGUUCGGCGGGGUGUAUGUCAUCGACGAUGCGCUUACAGAUGGGCCCGACCUCAACUCGUCGAGGCUGGUUGGGCGCGCGCAGGGCAUGUACGUCAGCUCCGGCAAGGACGAGCUGGCGGUGCUCAUGAACAUGAACUUCGUCUUCACCGCCGGCGGCAGGUACAACGGCAGCAGCAUCGCCAUCAUGGGCCGGAACUCGGCGGCCUCCGCUGCCAUCCGCGAGAUGCCUGUCAUCGGCGGCACCGGCAUCUUCCGCUUGGCCCGUGGGUACGCGCUGGCCACAACGUACGCCUUCAAUAUUAGCACCGGCGACGCCACAGUCGAGUACAACGUCUUCAUCCGCCACUAG